Molecule: transfer RNA, 71 nt
Filed under: Candidatus Kaiserbacteria bacterium
Lineage: Bacteria; Candidatus Kaiseribacteriota
Description: tRNA-Trp
Rfam family: tRNA
About the family: Transfer RNA (tRNA) molecules are approximately 80 nucleotides in length. Their secondary structure includes four short double-helical elements and three loops (D, anti-codon, and T loops).
Source: RNAcentral
GGGCGAUUAGUUAAGUGGCAUAAUUUCGGUUUCCAAAACCGCGGUCGGGGGUUCGAUUCCCUCAUCGCCCG